RNAcentral lists this ribosomal RNA (323 nucleotides) under uncultured bacterium. Its description in RNAcentral is "bacterial SSU rRNA". It matches the Rfam family "Bacterial small subunit ribosomal RNA", at positions 28 to 334 of the family's 1533-position model. The record is from RNAcentral.
GAUGAACGCUGGCGGCGUGCCUAACACAUGCAAGUCGAGCGAGAAUUUCUUAAAAGAUUCUUCGGAUGAUUUUAAGAAAGGAAAGCGGCGGACGGGUGAGUAACGCGUAGGCAACCUGCCCUUUGCAGAGGGAUAGCCUCGGGAAACCGGGAUUAAAACCUCAUAAUGCCCUAGGUAGACAUCUACUCUGGGCCAAAGAUUUAUCGGCAAAGGAUGGGCCUGCGUCUGAUUAGUUAGUUGGUGGGGUAACGGCCUACCAAGGCGACGAUCAGUAGCCGACCUGAGAGGGUGAUCGGCCACAUUGGAACUGAGACACGGUCCAA